RNAcentral lists this long non-coding RNA (1953 nucleotides) under Numida meleagris (helmeted guineafowl). Its description in RNAcentral is "lncRNA (ENSNMEG00000021790.1)". Lineage: Eukaryota; Metazoa; Chordata; Aves; Galliformes; Numididae. The record is from RNAcentral.
AUGACGACACGCUCCUUUGUGACAACAAUGAUGACGACAGCGACGACUCGGUUCUCUGUGACUAUGAAAAUGACUUGUACCUCUGUGAUGAUUACAAUGACGACGCGCUCCUCUGUGACGACGACGACAACAACACGCUCCUCUGUGACGACGACGAUGAUGCACUCCUCUGUGACGAUGAUGACGAUGGCAACUUGCUCCUCUGUGAUGACGAUGACGACGACGCACUCCUCUGUGACAAAGACGAGGACGGCAACUUGCUCCUCUGUGACGACGAUGACGAUGACUCGCUCCUCUGUGACGACGACGACAAUGACAACAAUGAUGCGCUCCUCUGUGAGGACAACAACGAUGCGCUCCUCUUUGACAACGACAACGACGACUCGCUCCUCUAUGACAACAAUGAUGACGCGCUCCUUUGUGACGAUGACAACGAAUCGCACCUCUGCGACGACAACGACACCCUCCUCUGUGACGAUGAUGACGACAACGACGCGCUCCUCUGUGACAAUGACGACGACUACGCACUCCUCUGUGACGCCGAUGACAACGAUGACGCACUCCUCUGUGACGAUUAUGACGACAACGGCUCACUCCUCUGUGAUGACGACGACAACUCACUCCUCUGUGACAACAAAGUCAACGACGAAUCACUCCUCUGUGAUGACAACAACGGCGACGCCCUCCUCUGUGGUGAUGACGAUGACAAUGACGCAGUCCUCUGUGAUGACAACGACGAUGGCGCCCUCUUCUGUGAUGACGAUGACGACGACAACAGUGAUGACUCAGUCUUCUGUGACUAUGAUAAUGACUCGUACCUCUGUGAUGACUACAAUGACGACGUGCUCCUCUGUGACGAUGAAGACGACAACGACUUGCUCCUCUGUGACGUCGACAGCAAUGACUCGGUCCUCUGUGAUGAUGACAGUGACUCACUCCCCUGUGACGACAACGACGACGACUCACUCCUCUGUGACAAAGACAAUGACAAUGAUGCACUCCCCUGUGACAACGACGAUGACGACGACUCACUCCUCUGUGACGAUGACAACGAUGACGCCCUCCUCUGUGAUGACAAUGACGACGAUGCGCUCCUCUGUGACAACGACGACGCGCUCCUCUGUGACGAGAACGACGACGGCGACAACUCAGUCCUCUGUGAACAUGAAAAUGACUAGUGCCUCUGUGAAGACGACAACAAUGACGCGUUCCUCUGUGACGAUGACAAUGAUACGCUCCCCUGUGACGACAGUGACAACAACACGCUCCUCUGUGUUGACAACAAUGACUAUGACGCGCUCAUCUGUGACAACAACGACAACGAAUCGCUCCUCUGUGAUGAUGACGAUGACGAAUCUCUCCUCUGUGACGACGACAAUGACGACUCACUCCUCGGAGACAGCAACGACGAAGACAACUCACUCCUCUGUGACAACAAAUUCAACGAUGACUCACUCCUCUGUGACGACGAUGACGACGACGCGCUCCUCUCUGAUGACGAUGACGAUGACGACGCGCUCCUCUCUGACGACGAUGACAACGACGCCCUCCUCUGUGAGGACGUCAGUGACGAUGCGCUCCUUUGAGAUGAUGAUGACGACGCGCUCCUCUGUGAUGAUGAUGACAACAACAUGCUCCUCUGUGGCAACGACGAUGACGCACUCCUCUGUGACGAUGACAACAAUGGCAACAACUCGGUCCUCUGUGAUGACGACGACAACUUGCUCCUCUGUGAUGACGAGGACGACGACUCGCUCCUCUGUGACAAUGAUGACGACUAGAACGCGCUCCUCUGUGAUGACGACGUGCUCCUCUGUGAGGACAAUGAUGAUGUGCUCCUCUUUGACAACAACGACAACGACUCGCUCCUCUGUGACAACAAUGAUGAUGCGCUCCUUUGUGACGACAACGACAACACCCUCCUCUGUGAUGAUGAUGACAAUGACACGUGCU